RNAcentral lists this RNase P RNA (330 nucleotides) under Bacillota bacterium. Its description in RNAcentral is "RNase P RNA component class B". It matches the Rfam family "Bacterial RNase P class B". From Rfam's summary of the family: Ribonuclease P (RNase P) is a ubiquitous endoribonuclease, found in archaea, bacteria and eukarya as well as chloroplasts and mitochondria. Its best characterised activity is the generation of mature 5'-ends of tRNAs by cleaving the 5'-leader elements of precursor-tRNAs. Lineage: Bacteria; Bacillati; Bacillota. The record is from RNAcentral.
AGUGGAAGGUGAUCGAGCCUAUUUGAUAGGUUAGGAAAGUCCAUGCUAGCACAUUCUGAGAUGAAUGUAGUGUUUGUGUCUAAGGAAAAAAUAACUUAGGGUACGAGUAAUCGUAACGGCGUUCGAUGGUCUAAGGGAAACUAUGACCUAGACGUAAUGUGCCACAGAAACGAGUUGUUCAGAAAUGAACAAAUGAAACGCGGUAAACCCCUCAAGCUAGCAACCCAAAUUUGGUAGGGGCACGUAUAAAGACGAACUCAAGUCGAUAUAUGCUACGAAGUAGAGAUAAAUGGUCACACCCUUUAAGGGAACAGAACAUGGCUUAUGCAC